CUGGCGGCAGGCUUAACACAUGCAAGUCGAACGGUAGCAGGAGAAAGCUUGCUUUCUUGCUGACGAGUGGCGGACGGGUGAGUAAUGCUUGGGAAUCUGGCUUAUGGAGGGGGAUAACGACGGGAAACUGUCGCUAAUACCGCGUAUUAUCGGAAGAUGAAAGUGCGGGACUGAGAGGCCGCAUGCCAUAGGAUGAGCCCAAGUGGGAUUAGGUAGUUGGUGGGGUAAAUGCCUACCAAGCCUGCGAUCUCUAGCUGGUCUGAGAGGAUGACCAGCCACACUGGAAUUGAGACACGGUCCAGACUCCUACGGGAGGCAGCAGUGGGGAAUAUUGCGCAAUGGGGGGAACCCUGACGCAGCCAUGCCGCGUGAAUGAAGAAGGCCUUCGGGUUGUAAAGUUCUUUCGGUAUUGAGGAAGGUUGAUGUGUUAA
RNAcentral lists this ribosomal RNA (431 nucleotides) under Haemophilus influenzae. Its description in RNAcentral is "bacterial SSU rRNA". It matches the Rfam family "Bacterial small subunit ribosomal RNA", at positions 36 to 463 of the family's 1533-position model. The record is from RNAcentral. Lineage: Bacteria; Pseudomonadati; Pseudomonadota; Gammaproteobacteria; Pasteurellales; Pasteurellaceae.